CCUACGGGUGGCAGCAGUGGGGAAUAUUGCACAAUGGUGGAAACCCUGAUGCCUCUCCUCCUCUUUCUUGCCGCCUUCCUUCUUUCCUUCCCUCUCUCUCAGCAGGGAAGAAAAUGACGGUACCUGAGUAAGAAGCCCCGGCUAACGACGUGCCAGCAGCCGCGGUAACACGUAGGGGGCAAGCGUUAUCCGGAUUUACUGGGUGUAAAGGGAGCGUAGACGGUGCGCCAAGUCUGGAGUGAAAUGCCGCAGCUUAACUGCGGAACUGCUUUGGAAACUGGCGAACUAGAGUGGGGGAGGGGUCAGCGGAAUUCCUAGGGUGGCGGUGGAAUGCGUAGAUAUUAGGAGGGAAACCGGUGGCGAAGGCGGCUUACUGGAGCGUAACUGACGUUGAGGCUCGAAAGCGUGGGGAGCAGACAGGAUUAGAUACCCCUGGUAGUC
Molecule: ribosomal RNA, 441 nt
Filed under: uncultured bacterium
Lineage: Bacteria
Description: partial 16S ribosomal RNA
Rfam family: Bacterial small subunit ribosomal RNA
Source: RNAcentral